Molecule: transfer RNA, 73 nt
Filed under: Bos taurus (domestic cattle)
Lineage: Eukaryota; Metazoa; Chordata; Mammalia; Artiodactyla; Bovidae
Also listed under: 5 other names
Rfam family: tRNA
About the family: Transfer RNA (tRNA) molecules are approximately 80 nucleotides in length. Their secondary structure includes four short double-helical elements and three loops (D, anti-codon, and T loops). Further hydrogen bonds mediate the characteristic L-shaped molecular structure. tRNAs have two regions of fundamental functional importance: the anti-codon, which is responsible for specific mRNA codon recognition, and the 3' end, to which the tRNAs corresponding amino acid is attached (by aminoacyl-tRNA synthetases). tRNAs cope with the degeneracy of the genetic code in two manners: having more than one tRNA (with a specific anti-codon) for a particular amino acid; and 'wobble' base-pairing, i.e. permitting non-standard base-pairing at the 3rd anti-codon position.
Source: Rfam by way of RNAcentral
UUCUGGGUGGUCCAGUGGUUAAGACUCCGCACUCCCAAUGCAGGGGGUUCGGGUUCAAUCCCUGGCCAGGGAA